GGAGAGGUGGCUCAGCAGUUAAGAGCACUGGCUGCUCUUUCAGAGGUCCUGAGUUCAAUUCCCAGCAACUACA
Molecule: transfer RNA, 73 nt
Filed under: Mus musculus (house mouse)
Lineage: Eukaryota; Metazoa; Chordata; Mammalia; Rodentia; Muridae
Rfam family: tRNA
About the family: Transfer RNA (tRNA) molecules are approximately 80 nucleotides in length. Their secondary structure includes four short double-helical elements and three loops (D, anti-codon, and T loops).
Source: Rfam by way of RNAcentral